Molecule: RNA transcript, 7662 nt
Organism: Gastrolobium bilobum
Lineage: Eukaryota; Viridiplantae; Streptophyta; Magnoliopsida; Fabales; Fabaceae
Exons: 10
Source: RefSeq, a predicted model, not a curated record
CACUGAGCCAAUCCGUACUUGUUUACAAUUAAUUACGUUAGAGUUUUGCUUUUAGUUUCAAACAAAAACAAAAAGAAAAGAGCGUUGCAGAUUGUUUGUAAGGUUUCUAUUCUGCUUUAAAGUUAGUUGUUUCUCAUGUCGAUCGUACAACCCUAAAAAUCAAGUUCCAGAGCGUUUCUAUGUUGUUGAUUGUUUGUCUUUUACUUUGAGUCUUUAAAUUUUCCUUUGAGAUUUGUUGUUCUGAUUCCCAGUUAGAAUAUCUUAUUUUGGAGCUCAUAAAACCCAGAAAAUCCGACCAAAAAAAUCUAAAAGAAAAAUGAAGAAAAUGUUUCAUAUUGUUUGCUUUUUGGUUUGAGUGUUCUUUGGCUUAUAAGAUUCCAGUUAUUUUCGAGCUCAUAUAACAUCUCAAAACCGAAAAAGAAAAAGAAACAAAGAACUGUUGGGCUGAUACCUGGUGAAGGAACUACCAUCAAUUUCAGUAUUCACUCUCUUCAUUUGAAGUAUUGGAUUGGAGUUUCCUCAACAAGAGAGUCUUAAUGGAUAUUCUCAUUUCCAUUGCUGGAAAAGUAGCGGAGUAUACUGUUGAACCUAUUGGACGACAAGCAGGUUAUUUAAUAUUCUACAAGGACAAUUUCAAGAAGCUAGAUGAUCAAGUCAAGGAGCUCGAGGAUACAAGAGUAAGAUUGAACCACUCGGUUGAAGACGAAAGAAGAAAUGGAAAAGAAAUAGAAAGAGAUGUGCAGAACUGGCUGGAGAAGGUGAAUGAGGUCAUUGAAGAGGCAAAUCAGCUUCAGAAAGAUCCUGGUCGUGCAAGGGUGGGGUGCUCUGGAUGGUCAUUCCCCAAUUUGAUUUUACGACAUAAACUUAGUAGGAAAGCUUCAAAGAUAGAAAAUGAGGUUGUUGAGGUACAGGGAAAAGGGAAAUUCAGUCGAGUUGGUUACCUUCCUCCUCUGGAUGGAGUAGGUUCAACUUCAAGCACAGGUGGUAACGAAAAGCUUGAGACAAGAGAGUCAAUUAAGGAGGACAUUAUGCACGCUCUUAGAGACCCUAAAGUACACAACAUUGGGGUCUAUGGGCUAGGCGGUAUGGGUAAGACCUAUAUGGUGAUGGAAGUUGCUCAAAUAGCCACACAAGACAAAUUGUUUGAUAAAGUAGUUAUGGCCAAUGUAUCUAAAACUCCAGACCUUAGAACAAUUCAAGGGGAGAUUGCGGAUUUGUUGGGUUUUCGAUUUUAUGAGGAGACUGUUGUUGGUAGGGCAUCCCGCUUAAGGCAGAGAAUUAAAGCAGAGAAAACUAUCCUUGUCAUUCUUGAUGAUAUUUGGACCAAACUUGAUUUGAAGAAAGUGGGAAUUCCUUCUGAGGAUGAACAUAAUGCUUGUAAGCUAUUGAUGACUUCUAGAAAUCAGGAUGUGUUGGUCGAAAUGGAUGCUAAACCGAAUUUCAAAGUUGACGUUUUGAAUGAAGCAGAAACAUGGAAGUUAUUUCGAUUCAUGGCUGGGGAUGUAGUUAAGGAUAUCAAUUUACAUGAUAUAGCAACUCAAGUGGCAAAAAAAUGUGCAGGUUUUCCUCUUCGGCUGGUAACGGUAGCACGAGCAUUGAAAAAUAAAGAUAUUCAUGCUUGGAAUGAUGCAUUAAGGCAACUAAAAAGUGUUGAUCAUUGGGAGGUGGAUGCAAUGACUUACUCUGCUUUGGAGUUGAGUUACAAAUCAUUGGAGAGCGAUGAAAUGCAGGUACUCUUACUUUUUGCUGUACUGGAUUCCUCCAGUGUGGAGUACUUAUUGAAAGUUGCAAUGGGUUUGGAUAUAUUCAAGCCUAUAAACACUGUGAAAGAUGCAAGACAUAGAUUUUAUAAAAUAAUUGGAUCCUUGAAGGCAUCUUGCCUAUUGUUUGAAGAUAACACACGUGAGCAUAUCCAAAUGCAUGACCUUGUUCGUGAAGUAGCUAUCUACAUAGCUUCAAGAGAUCAAUAUGUAUUUUUUGUGCAACCGAAGACUGAGUUGAAAUGGCCAAUAAAGAAUUUUCUAGAAAGGUGCACACAGAUCAUCUUAGAUAAUUGUCAUAUUCAUGAGCUUCCUCAAAGGUUAGAUUGUCCUAACGUGAAGCUUUUUAGCUUGGAUAGUGCUAAUCGUUCUUUAGAAAUCCCAAAUCCUUUUUUUGAGGGAAUGGGAAGCCUCAAAGUGUUAGAUUUAACAUGGUUGAACUUGUCUUUGUUACCCACUUCUUUUCAGUCCCUAACUAGGCUUCAAACAUUGUGUUUGGAUCAAUGCAUUUUGGAAAAUAUGAAUCAAAUUGGAGCUUUGAAAAAUUUAGAAAUUUUUAGCCUUUGGAAAUCUUCGAUGACGAAAUUGCCAAGAGAAAUAGGGCAAUUGACUCAUCUAAGAAAGCUUGAUUUAAGCUAUUCUGGUAUUGAAGUCUUCCCACCCAACAUCAUAUCAAGCUUGACUAAUUUGGAGGAGUUGUGCUUGGGAAAUACAUCCAUUAAGUGGGAGGUUGAGAAUUCAGCUAACCAAAAUGAAAAUGCUAGCCUUGCUGAGCUUCGACAAUUGUCUAACUUGACUGCUCUAGAAUUACAAAUUCGCGAGGCUUCGAUUUUGCCAAAGGAAUUGAUAUUUGAGAAGGUAGAACGAUAUAAAAUUGUUAUCGGAGAUGUAUGGGAAUGGUAUGACAUUAGGAAUGUAAGCUUGAAAACAUUGAAACUCAAACUUGGUACCAAUAUACAUUUAGAGCCCGGGAUUAAAGCAUUGAUUAAAAGGGCUGAGAAUUUGUACUUGGAUGAUGUAGUUGGAAUUUCAAAUGUUCUUUAUCAAAUGAAUAGGGAAGGAUUUCCAUUGUUGAAACAUCUCCAUAUCCAAAAUAAUGCUAAAAUGAUGCACAUUGUUGACUCAAUGGGUAGGAAUCAAGUGAAGGUUUCGUUUCUCAACUUGGAAACAUUGGUACUUCAGAAUCUUAAAAACAUGGAGAAGAUAUGUCAUGGCCCACUUGCAGUUAAUUCUUUUGGCAAGCUUAGAAUCAUCAAAGUUAAAAAUUGUGUCCAAUUAAAAUAUCUUCUCUCCUUUUCAAUGGUGGAAGGACUUUCCCAACUUUCAGAGAUUGAAGUUUGUCAAUGCAAUUCUAUGAAGAAGAUAGUGCUUGUAGAUUGCGAUGCAAGCGCAGAUAAAAAUAAAAUUGAGUUUCUUUCACUGCGUUCUUUGACUUUACAACAUUUGCAAACUCUUGAUAAUUUCUUCUCUUAUGAAUUGACCUCCUCCAUAACCAAGCAUCAAUGGUUGCAGACUAGUGUUCCUGUAUCGUUUUUUAGUUCCCAGGUUGCAUUCCCUAAUUUGGAUACCCUUAAGUUGAGCUCACUCAAUUUGAACAAAAUUUGGGAUGACAGUCAGCAUUCUGUUUCCAAAUUGUCAAACUUGAUUGUGGAGAAUUGUGGUGGACUAAAGUACUUGUUCUCAUCUACCGUGGUUGGAAGUUUUAUUAAUCUCAAACGGCUUGAAAUUAGUAAAUGUCAUUUGAUAGAUGAGAUAAUAGCCACUAGAGAGAGAAACAAUGGUACUGCUUGUGCUUCACUCAAUGAGGUUCGAUUCUCCAAACUGGAGACAAUCAUAUUGAAGGACAUGGAAAGCUUGGAGACGAUAUGGCACUGCCAAUUUGAAACAGUGAAGACGUUGCAAGUCAGAAACUGCAAUAAAAUUGUAGUGGUUUUUCCUUCUUCAAUCCAGGAAACAUACCAUAACUUAGAGAUGCUAGCGGUUACAGAUUGUGCUUUAGUGGAAGAGAUAUUUGAAUUGACUUCGAAUGAAAAGAGCAGUAUAGAGGAUGGAACACAACUGAAAAGCAUUACUUUAGAAGAAUUGCCAAAGCUGAAAAGGACAUGGAGUAGGGAUCCUGAAGGAAUUUUUCAUUUUCAUAAUCUAGAAAACGUAUAUCUAAAAAGUUGUGGAAGCUUGGACUAUCUAUUUCCAUUUUCUGUUGCCACUCACUGCUCACUUCUCAAAGAACUUUUUAUAAUGUGGUGUGGGAACAUGAAGGAAAUUGUUGCAGAGAAGGAAGGAUCCAUGUGCACAACUCCCCUAUUUGAGUUUCAUGAACUAAAUAGUCUAUUGCUUUGGGGCUUACACAAACUCAAGGGUUUCUAUGCUGGAAGUUAUACUUUAGCAUGUCCAUCUUUGAGAAAAAUAGAUGUUUUUAGGUGUGCAAAAUUGAAUUUAUACAAGACUCUGUCCACAAAUACUGAUGGAAGGUUUCUAGAUGGUAAACUCCCUGUUACUGUGCAGCAGUCACUUUUCAGAGUCGAAGAGAUGAUUCCAAACUUGGAGAAGUUGAGAAUAAGCUACAGGGACGCUAACAUGAUACUGCAAGCCCAAAAUUUAGGUGCCCUCUUCACCAAAUUGAAAUAUCUUGGGCUCACCGAUUGUAGGGACGAAGAGCCUUCUUUUCCUGAUUGGUUUCUCCAAAAUGUGUGUACCCUUGAGGAGCUCGUUGUUGGAUGUAGUUCCUACAAAAAGAUAUUUCAAGAUGAAAGACUAGUAAGUGAAAAAACUUACCCACGGCUCAAAAGGUUGACACUGUAUCAAUUACCUAAACUUCAACAUAUCUGUGAAGAAGGAUCCCAAAUUGACCCAGUUCUUCAGGUUCUUGAAUACUUAGAUGUUGAUGAAUGUCAUAAUUUGACAAACUUGCUACCUUCCUCUGUUACUUUUAGUCACUUGACGUAUUUGGAGAUAACAAAGUGCAGUGGGUUGAUAAAUUUAAUCACAUCUCCUACGGCGAGAAGCUUAGUCAAACUGACAACAUUGAAGGUAAAAGAGUGUAAUUCACUUGAAGAAAUAAUAAUAGGAAAGAGAGAAGAAUAUGACAUUGUAUUUAUUAGUUUGGAAAUAUUGAUGUUGGAAAGUUUGCCAAAUCUUAACAAAUUUUGCUCUAGUAAGUGCUUUUUGAGGUUUCCAUUGCUGGAACAAGUAGUUGUGAGAGAAUGUCCUCGCUUGAAGAUUUUCUCUGUGGAAAAUACAAGCACACCAAAUCUUCGAAAAGUGAAUGUGGCAAAAAAUGAUGAAGAAUGGCAUUGGAAUGAGAACUUAAAUGAUACGAUAAAGAAAAUGUUUGAAGAUAAGGUGGCAUUUUGUAGUUUCAUGCAUUUGAACUUAUCUGAAUAUCCUGAGCUGAAAGAGUUAUGGUAUGGCCAUCCUCAAUGCAAUGUAUUCAGCAGUUUGACGUCUUUAGUGGUUCAUAAAUGUGAUUUUUUAUUGGAUGUACUCUUUCAACCAAAUUUACUGAAUGUGCUUUCGAACUUGGAAGAACUAGAUGUAAAAGAUUGUAGUUCAUUAGAAGCUGUGUUUGAUGUGAAAGCUGAAUUUGCUACAGAAAUUUUAGUGAAGAAUUCCACACUGUUGAAAAAGUUAACACUAUCUAAUCUUCCUAAACUGAAGCAUGUGUGGAAGGAAGAUCCCCAUGGAACUGUUAGCUUUCAGAAUUUGUGUGAAGUAUCUAUUAUAGAAUGCAAAAUCUUAACAAGUCUCUUUCCACUCUCAAUAGCGAGAGAUAUCAAAAACCUUCAAGAUCUUCAAGUAACUGACUGUGGGGUUGAAGAAAUUAUUGGCAAGGAAGAAGGAGAUGAGGAGAUAAUUAAAUUUGAGUUCCCUCAUUUGACAUCCCUUCAACUUAAGCAUUUGCCUAAACUCAAGGCUUUCUUUUCUGGGAUCCAUUCUCUACAAUGUAAAUCCUUGAAAAUAAUAAAGGUGUUCACGUGUCCAAAGUUGGAGCUAUUUAAGACACAGCCUAUGGGCUACCCAGAAAGAACUACAGAUGACAAACUCUGUCUCUCAACUUAUCAACCUCUUUUCACAAUUGAAGAGGUACUUCCUAAUGCAGAGAGGUUGAUGCUGAAUAACAAAGAUUUUGACAUCUUAUUGCACAACCAAUAUUCAGGGAAGCUAUUCAGCAAACUUAAAUCUAUUUGGGUGUCCGAAUUCACUUAUGAAGAAGCUCCUUUUCCGUAUUGGUUUCUAAAAAAUGUACCAAAUUUGGAAGAGCUAGCGGUUCAAUGGAGUUCCUUCACAGAGAUAUUCCAAGACGAACCACUUAUAGGUGAGGAAAGACAAAUCAAAAUUAGCACAAGGCCUAAAAAGUUGACAUUAUGGGAACUCAAUAAACUUCAACAUAUAUGCAAGGAAGGAUUCCAAAUUGACCCCGUUCUUCAAUGUCUUGAAAGCAUACAUGUUUUCCAAUGUUCCAGUCUGAUAAAUUUGGUGCCUUCCUCUGUUACCUUUAAUUACUUGACUAAUUUGGAGAUCACAAACUGCAUUGGGCUCAUAAAUUUGAUAGCAUGCUCAACAGCAAAGAGUCUGGUCAAGCUCACAACAAUGAAGAUUAAAGGGUGCGAUUUAUUAGAGGAUGUAGUGAGUGGAAAAGAAGAUGAGACAAACAAUGAGAUUGCAUUUUUCAAUUUGCAAACUCUGGAACUUAUUUGUUUAGCAAGUCUCCGCAAGUUUUGCUCAUGUAAGUGCUUCAUUAAGUUUCCAUUGUUGGAAAAAGUUAUUGUAAAAGAAUGUCCUCGAAUGGAGAUUUUUUCUUUGGAAGACACCAGCACACCAGAUCUUCAAGAAGUACAAACUGAGGAAAAUGACGAAAAAUCUCGUUGGGAUGGUGACCUGAAUGAAACAAUAAAGAAUAUGUUUAAAGAUAAGCUAAGGUUGCAUGUUACAGAUUCCAACAUUUGAACCUGUCUGAAUACCCAGAGCUAUAGUAUUUGAGCCAUACAGGAAGGAGGACUUAAGGGCGCGUAAGAGAUGAUGCUGUUUUUGCUGCUGGAUGAGACUUUAUAUCUAAGGUUAUAAUAGAAGGCCACUUGUAAAUAUAUUUGUAAUUAGAAUUUCAUGUUCCCCUGAUUUGUCAUCUAUAAGCAGGUGACAAAAUCAGGUGAUCUAGUGUGUACUUAUGUAAGCCAAUGUGCAUUGGCGCUUAUGUUAGAACAAUGUAAGCCACUUUGAUGUACCACCAAAUCUUAAUGUGAUAUAUGUACGAUAAGCAACUUCUUACUGACGUAUAUGUUAGUUAUGUGUAAGUGUAAUAAUUUCUGCAGCAAUUAAGGGUAUUAAAUGAUGAAUGAAGAGAAACGAAAAUGGGGGAUUUGGCUGCUGACAAGAGAGGGACUAUGAAAAACAGGAAGCUGCUCGCUCAGUGGGGUGAAGAGGCAGAGAAGGGGAAACUUUCUUCCAAGCUCUUUCGGACUCCAAAGUUAAAAUUGCUAUAUUGAAGCAAGGACUGAUCAAGGAAACUUAAAGGGAUAAAAUUCAAGCAACUUCAUCCUUGCUGAGCGAGCAUCACGAAUUACCUUGCUGAGUUGCUUGCUUCAAUGAGCAACUUAGCGAGCAGGAGUACGAAAACACUUAUUUUUCAACUGCAGCUUGCUGGUUUGCUCGCUUUAGCGAGCGCAGCGAGCUUCUCGUAAAAAAGCCCAUAGAUUUUUUCAUUAAAAAGGGAAAGAAAAAGGCAAUUAGAAUCAAAUUUUCUACGACUUGGAGAGGAGAAAAAGCUCUGUUCUGGACUUGAGGAGCGGAGGAAAGGAUUAAGGUUUCACCAUGGUGAUCGACAAUUGAGUUCUUUCAUGAUUUUCUUUAGUUUUUCAUCUAUUGUCUUAGUUUUCUUGACUAUGUCAGGCUAUGUUUUCUUGUA